Molecule: RNA transcript, 489 nt
Organism: Mangifera indica (mango)
Lineage: Eukaryota; Viridiplantae; Streptophyta; Magnoliopsida; Sapindales; Anacardiaceae
Gene name: mitochondrial import receptor subunit TOM5 homolog
Exons: 3
Source: RefSeq, a predicted model, not a curated record
UAUAACAGAAGCAUCCAAUUUGAACAGACUCUCAUAGUGCAUCAAUGGCGGACUCCGUGAUUUCUCCUGAUAUGCUGAAAGCCAUCUGGCAUUCUCAGAUGCACGACGAGGAGAAAUGGGCCCUCAACAUGAAACUGCUGCGUGCUGCUGGGCUGUUUGUGGGAUCAAUUCUUCUGAUGCGCAGUUACGGUGAUCUUAUGGCAAUAUGAGGAAUGAUGGGGUGCCGAUAGGCUGAGCUAAACCUCUACUGAAGUAAACACCCUCUGGUUUUCCCUCCACUCCAUUGUGUUUUUAGGAAGGACAAUAUUAUUUACCCUCACCCUGCUUGGCCUUGCUUAAGGUUCUUCGAAGAAAAAGCUGAACGGAUUUAUUAGAUUUUUUUUUUUUGGGGGGUAUAAAAAUCAUUCUGUACCAAACUGGUUUCACAGGUUUUUCAUUCACUUGGAACAAUAGACAGAAAAAAUAAUAAAAUGUUGUGGUAUGAUUGGA